UGCAGUCGAGCGGUACAGAGAGAAGCUUGCUUCUUUGCUGACGAGCGGCGGACGGGUGAGUAAUACUUGGGAACUUGCCUCUAGGCGGGGGACAACCACUGGAAACGGUGGCUAAUACCGCAUAAUGUCUACGGACCAAAGUGGGGGACCUUCGGGCCUCACACCUAGAGAUGGGCCCAAGUGGGAUUAGCUAGUUGGUGAGGUAAAGGCUCACCAAGGCGACCAUCCCUAGCUGUUCUGAGAGGAUGAUCAGCCACACUGGGACUGAGACACGGCCCACACUCCUACGGGAGGCAGCAGUGGGGAAUAUUGCACAAUGGGCGCAAGCCUGAUGCAGCCAUGCCGCGUGUGUGAAGAAGGCCUUCGGGUUGUAAAGCACUUUCAGUGGUGAGGAAGGUCAGUAAGUUAAUAGCUUGCUGAAUUGACGUUAGCCACAGAAGAAGCACCGGCUAACUCCGUGCCAGCAGGCGCGGUAAUACGGAGGGUGCAAGCGUUAAUCGGAAUUACUGGGCGUACAGCGUACGUAGGCGGUGUGUUAAGCAAGAUGUGAAAGCCCCGGGCUCAACCUGGGAAUUGCAUUUUGAACUGGCACGCUAGAGUCCUGAAGAGGGUGGUAGAAUUUCCAGUGUAGCGGUGAAAUGCGUAGAUAUUGGAAGGAAUACCAGUGGCGAAGGCGGCAACCUGGUCAGAGACUGACGCUGAGGUACCAAAGCGUGGGGAGCAAACAGGAUUAGA
Molecule: ribosomal RNA, 735 nt
Filed under: Marinobacter salsuginis
Lineage: Bacteria; Pseudomonadati; Pseudomonadota; Gammaproteobacteria; Pseudomonadales; Marinobacteraceae
Description: bacterial SSU rRNA
Rfam family: Bacterial small subunit ribosomal RNA
Source: RNAcentral